GUGAGUAGUUCAGAGUUUGAUCCUGGCUCAGGACGAACGCUGCGGCGUGCCUAACACAUGCAAGUCGAACGGGGUGAGAUCCUUCGGGGUUUCACUUAGUGGCGAACGGGUGAGUAACGCGUGAGAAACCUGCCUUUCAGUGGGGGACAACAGUUGGAAACGACUGCUAAUACCGCAUAAUGUACAUGGACCGCAUGAUCUGUGUACCAAAGCUUUAUGUGCUGAAAGAUGGUCUCGCGUCUGAUUAGCUAGAUGGCGGGGUAACGGCCCACCAUGGCGACGAUCAGUAGCCGGUCUGAGAGGAUGAACGGCCACAUUGGGACUGAGAUACGGCCCAG
Molecule: ribosomal RNA, 338 nt
Filed under: uncultured bacterium
Lineage: Bacteria
Description: bacterial SSU rRNA
Rfam family: Bacterial small subunit ribosomal RNA
Source: RNAcentral